AGCAGCCGCGGUAAUUCCAGCUCCAAUAGCGUAUAUUAAAGUUGUUGCAGUUAAAAAGCUCAUAGUUGAAUUUCGGGAUUAAUAUGCUGGUCGUGCCAUUGGUACGUACUAGUAUUAUUGAUUUCUCCCUUCUGAUGAAUCAUGAUGUCAUUAAUCUGAUGUCAUGGGGAAUCAGGACUGUUACUUUGAAAAAUUAGAGUGUUUAAAGCAGGCUCGCGCUUGAAUACAUUAGCAUGGAAUAAUGAAAUAGGACGUUUGAUUCUAUUUUGUUGGUUUCUAGGAUUGACGUAAUGAUUAAUAGGGAUAGUUGGGGGCAUUAGUAUUCUAUUGUCAGAGGUGAAAUUCUUGGAUUUAUUGAAGACUAACUACUGCGAAAGCAUUUGCCAAGGAUGUUUUCAUUAAUCAAGAACGAAAGUUAGGGGAUCGAAGACGAUCAGAUACCGUCGUAGU
This 450-nucleotide ribosomal RNA is filed under the name uncultured Glomus. Its description in RNAcentral is "SSU rRNA". It matches the Rfam family "Eukaryotic small subunit ribosomal RNA", at positions 569 to 1024 of the family's 1831-position model. The record is from RNAcentral. Lineage: Eukaryota; Fungi; Glomeromycota; Glomeromycetes; Glomerales; Glomeraceae.